This 252-nucleotide ribosomal RNA is filed under the name Paraprevotella xylaniphila YIT 11841. RNAcentral's name for it is "partial 16S ribosomal RNA". It matches the Rfam family "Bacterial small subunit ribosomal RNA", at positions 524 to 776 of the family's 1533-position model. The record is from RNAcentral. Lineage: Bacteria; Pseudomonadati; Bacteroidota; Bacteroidia; Bacteroidales; Prevotellaceae.
UACGGAAGAUGCGAGCGUUAUCCGGAUUUAUUGGGUUUAAAGGGAGCGUAGGCGGGCAGUCAAGUCAGCGGUCAAAUGGCGCGGCUCAACCGCGUUCCGCCGUUGAAACUGGCAGCCUUGAGUAUGCACAGGGUACAUGGAAUUCGUGGUGUAGCGGUGAAAUGCUUAGAUAUCACGAGGAACUCCGAUCGCGCAGGCAUUGUACCGGGGCAUUACUGACGCUGAGGCUCGAAGGUGCGGGUAUCAAACAGG